Molecule: ribosomal RNA, 432 nt
Filed under: uncultured bacterium
Lineage: Bacteria
Description: partial 16S ribosomal RNA
Rfam family: Bacterial small subunit ribosomal RNA
Source: RNAcentral
AACGAACGCUGGCGGCAUGCCUAACACAUGCAAGUCGAACGAGACCUUCGGGUCUAGUGGCACACGGGUGCGUAACGCGUGGGAACCUGCCCUUAGGUUCGGAAUAACUCCCCGAAAGGGGUGCUAAUACCGGAUAAUGUCUUCGGACCAAAGAUUUAUCGCCUUUGGAUGGGCCCGCGUUGGAUUAGCUAGUUGGUAGGGUAAAAGCCUACCAAGGCGACGAUCCAUAGCUGGUCUGAGAGGAUGAUCAGCCACACUGGGACUGAGACACGGCCCAGAAUCCUACGGGAGGCAGCAGUGGGGAAUAUUGGACAAUGGGCGAAAGCCUGAUCCAGCAAUGCCGCGUGAGUGAUGAAGGCCUUAGGGUUGUAAAGCUCUUUUACCCGGGAUGAUAAUGACAGUACCGGGAGAAUAAGCUCCGGCUAACUCCGU